GACGAACGCUGGCGGCGUGCCUAAUACAUGCCAGUUGAGCGCUGAAGGUUGGUACUUGUACCAACUGGAUGAGCAGCGAACGGGUGAGUAACGCGUGGGGAAUCUGCCUUUGAGCGGGGGACAACAUUUGGAAACGAAUGCUAAUACCGCAUAAAAACUUUAAACACAAGUUUUAAGUUUGAAAGAUGCAAUUGCAUCACUCAAAGAUGAUCCCGCGUUGUAUUAGCUAGUUGGUGAGGUAAAGGCUCACCAAGGCGAUGAUACAUAGCCGACCUGAGAGGGUGAUCGGCCACCUUGGGAGGGUGACACGGCCCAAACGCCUACGGGAGGCAGCAGUAGGGAAUCGUCGGCAAUGGACGAAAGUCUGACCGAGCAACGCCGCGUGAGUGAAGAAGGUUUUCGGAUCGUAAAACUCUGUUGGUAGGGAAGAACGUUGGUGAGAGUGGAAAGCUCAUCAAGUGACGGUAACUACCCAGAAAGGAACGGCUAACUACGUG
This 497-nucleotide ribosomal RNA is filed under the name uncultured bacterium. RNAcentral describes it as "partial 16S ribosomal RNA". It matches the Rfam family "Bacterial small subunit ribosomal RNA", at positions 28 to 507 of the family's 1533-position model. The record is from RNAcentral.